Molecule: transfer RNA, 84 nt
Filed under: Coriobacteriia bacterium
Lineage: Bacteria; Bacillati; Actinomycetota; Coriobacteriia
Description: tRNA-Leu
Rfam family: tRNA
About the family: Transfer RNA (tRNA) molecules are approximately 80 nucleotides in length. Their secondary structure includes four short double-helical elements and three loops (D, anti-codon, and T loops). Further hydrogen bonds mediate the characteristic L-shaped molecular structure. tRNAs have two regions of fundamental functional importance: the anti-codon, which is responsible for specific mRNA codon recognition, and the 3' end, to which the tRNAs corresponding amino acid is attached (by aminoacyl-tRNA synthetases). tRNAs cope with the degeneracy of the genetic code in two manners: having more than one tRNA (with a specific anti-codon) for a particular amino acid; and 'wobble' base-pairing, i.e. permitting non-standard base-pairing at the 3rd anti-codon position.
Source: RNAcentral
GCCGGAGUGGCGGAAUGGCAGACGCGGUGGUCUCAAAAACCAUUGGUUAACACCGUGUGGGUUCGAAUCCCACCUCCGGCACCA